AAGAGGUGAGUGAUAUCUGCUACCCCUGUGUGUAUGAGAGGGAAGAAUUACUGUGGAAGAUAUACUUGCCAUUUUUUUUUCUUCUCAAGAAGAUAGCAAAGGAGUGUCUCCUCCAUCAGCUUUGCCAGGAAGUCCUGAUGUGGUGCUCUCCUGUGGGCCACUAUUUGGAACUCCCUGCAGCAGCGGCCCACCUGGCCUCUAAGCCGAGCUGUUAUGGUCCCCUCUCAGUUUUCAAACAGAAAAUAGAGAGCAGCUCAUUAGAUGCCUCUGCGUGCAUCCACCUUGGUGCUUGCAGAGAGAAGAAAGGCCUGUGUGUUAAGAAGCAUCCUCUGGAAACUGAUACGGCCCAUAGAGUUGUGAGGUAGCCCUGGGCCCAAGAAGUGUCUAUGGAGCUUUCUGCAGAAGCAACCCUGCCAGGGACUGCUCAGCAGGGAGGGGCAGGGAACAAGAGCAGGAAAGAAUUUGACCUGAUAGCAGUCCCCACUGGGAAAACAGAGCGUGAUCAGCACAGUUUGUGGGAGAGUUGGUGAGAAUUCACGUGGCCCCUUUUGUUUCUGUGGGAGUCAGUACCUAAAUGCCUUUGCAAAGUCAAUCUGUGAUCUUGAACUGAACACAUCAUGCUGAUUGAGCUGUACAUGUGGGUUAUUCCUGGAAAACUGGCCUGGAAAACUAAAUGCCCUCUGAGACCAGGCUUUGAAAUCUGUUCACCCAGACAGUACUGUUAAUGAAAACAGAGAGAGAUGAACAAGGCCCUCCACCCUUUAGAAGAUGAAACAAUGUGAUCUUCACCACCCAUCAUCUGUUUCAGAUUCUGAAAAGUUUUUUAGUGAAUAAGAAGAUAUAAAGUUUGGAUGCCACAAAUCUGAUUAAGCUAUUGACUUGAGGCAUAAACUUUUAUUUUCACUUCAAGCUAUUAACAUGUGCAGCAAGCACUUUACACAAACCUGAAUGGAUUCCCUGUGUGAAUAACUGCUGUUCAGAAUGAGGAGGAGCUAAAAAAUUUUGCUUUUCUUGAUAACAAAGCAUUAUCAGAAUGACAUUUGCAUCUGGUAACAGAAUAACAGUCCGCCUCUCCAGCUGCAAAUACUGAUUCUCUACUGACACAAACUGAAGUCCUACUCACAUGGCCAGGAGAUGGAUACAGUCUGCUCUAAGACAAGUUCAUAACUUCUAGUGUGUACUCUGAACUGCACUAAAUCCCAAGUUUGAGUUCUGAUCGUCAAUUCACAAAACAGCUAUUGCACAAGAUGGCAACAUAGCUCAUUAGUUAAGAAACAAUGUGCUGCUUUGAGAUAAAAUCUUGAUCCAUUUGUUAGGAAGCUUACAUUUUUUGGAAGGGUCAAGUUUCUCAGUUAUGCUUAAUGUACAAGGAUGGAUAGGGACCAAUUAACAGAAGGAUUUAAGCUUUCUAAACCUGGUGGUACUCCAGCACUAAUAAUUAUUACUUCCUUGACCUGUAAUAGUGCUUACUGUUGAUUUUUGCUUCUUGUGUUAAGCAGAAGUGCCAUUGAAGCUGAGAGUCUACAAGUGAGAAAUGUGCAUGUAAGAUGUUUUUCAAAGUGACCUAGGUCCUACUGACCAGCUGGGAUACAGGAGUGGGCACAAGUAACUGCCAGGUUCUCUGUGAUAACCAACACCCUGAGAGCAGAGUGCUGCUACCCUGCCAUUCAGACCUGUGGGGCACCUUUCGGCUGAUGUCCUCGCUGCCCUGAGCCUGAGUCUUGGAGUUUCUUCCACUGUCUGGAGGCUAGAGCCACUGAGUGGCCUUUUGGGCUCCGUUUUUAUGCCACAGUCCUCUCAUAGUGCAUCUGUUAUCAGAAAUUUUUAAAUGCCAUACCAAGCCUAUGCUUAAUUUAAUCCAAUAAACCUCAACCAUGGAAUAUAUGUAACUGUCUUUCAUGCUGCCACUGAUAUGGAAGAAAUGAGCGCUGGAGAACAGUUUACUCUUCUUGUCCAUAGACUUUGUAUAGUACAAACGCUCUAGCUGCUGAAGAGUGUACUCCAGUGUUCAACAUCAUGAGAGUUUGCCAUGAUACUUAGUACAGGCGGCUGUCGACUCCGAAACUUCAUGUCUGUGGGAACCAGCAAACUCAUGUGAUGCCUCCCACCUUAACAAGGAUCACUUGUUAGAAUAUUUGCUUUUACUUCUGUACUGAGAAGUAAAAAGUCAUGUUUUUCAAGACAUGUAGCAAACGCAAUCAUGCUGAUACUUGAAGCUGAGGAGUUUCAUUUCCUCGAAACUCUUUUCUUUCCCCUGUCCUUGGAAAAGC
This is a long non-coding RNA of Gallus gallus (chicken), 2270 nucleotides long. NCBI's taxonomy places the organism in Eukaryota, Metazoa, Chordata, Aves, Galliformes, Phasianidae. The record is from Ensembl.